RNAcentral lists this unclassified non-coding RNA (352 nucleotides) under uncultured fungus. RNAcentral describes it as "partial contains 5.8S ribosomal RNA and internal transcribed spacer 2". The stretch from base 1 to 132 matches the Rfam family "5.8S ribosomal RNA", at positions 22 to 154 of the family's 154-position model. The record is from RNAcentral. Lineage: Eukaryota; Fungi.
UGGUUCUGGCAUCGAUGAAGAACGCAGCGAAAUGCGAUAAGUAAUGCGAAUUGCAGAAUCCGUGAGUCAUCGAAUCUUUGAACGCACAUUGCGCCCUUUGGCAUUCCGAAGGGCAUGCCUGUUCGAGCGUCAUUAUCACCCCUCAAGCCCCGUGCUUGGUGUUGGACGGCUUGGUCGCGGUGUGCACCGCGACCCCUCCCAAAGACAAUGACGGCGGCCCGUGGCUCCCCCGGCACACUGAGCUUCUCACCGAGCACGUGUCGGAUCGCGGGCGUCCAGGUCCCGGUCGGCUCCCCCACCACAGGGAAUUUUUAUCAAGGUUGACCUCGGAUCAGGUAGGAAUACGCGCUGA